This 633-nucleotide ribosomal RNA is filed under the name Triticum aestivum (bread wheat). RNAcentral describes it as "partial small subunit ribosomal RNA". Lineage: Eukaryota; Viridiplantae; Streptophyta; Magnoliopsida; Poales; Poaceae. The record is from RNAcentral.
UGCAACUUCCAAGUGUUCUGCGAGGUUUACCUUGGAGAAGAACCUAGUCUGCUGCUCUUCAGAGAGCUUUUUUACUUGAACCGUCAGAAUGAGUGCGCCAAUGGGCCAAGUCUAGAGCUAGGUGGCAUCUCCAUUCAGCGGCGAAGGGACUGCCUUUUCCCUUACGCAGAGCCGCCCAGCCACCCCAAGGACUGGAAUCUGACGUGGUUUUACUGCCAAGACACGUCGCCGGCUGAUGAAAGUCCGUUGCCCGGCUUUCGCCCCUCACAUCUGGAGCCGACUCACCCACUGUCAGACAAGCUGACUCAAGCGGAGCGCCAACCUCUGCUCCCCACUAUCAACAAGAUCAAAGCUCUCCUGAGCAAUGGUCUGAAUGGAAUCGAUCUGGUCCGGGUCUGGAUCUCGUGGCGGGUGAUCCCAUUGAGCCGCCGCCCCAGCUUAAUGUGUGAAUACACGGGCCGAAAGGACGACCCUCAGAGACACAGCCGCAAUGAUCUUCCUGAAGACGUUGCAGAAGAGAUGACCAAGGCUCUCUUGAACGAGAGCCUGGCAGACUGCGGAAGGACCGGGUUAGCCCCCUUCUGCAAGACCAACCCAGCCCCAGCGGAUGAUGACAAGUUCUGGCGGGUCAAA